AGAAAACUAUUACUCCUUUCAAAAGAUAGAUAAAAAUACAACAAAUAUAUGAACAUUCAAUAAUUUUUAAAUGAUAAUGUUUAUAUCAUCUCUUCUAUUUACAAAAUGUUCCACUUUGCAAAAACAUGUUAUCCCCCAAUGAGGUCUGUUUUUGUUGUUUGACCUGCUCUGCAACAAACACUGGACUUUCCUAACAAAUUUAGAUAUGGCGUUUAUAGGAAGUGAUGUUGGAUGUUUUCAUAACGUGGCUUUUUGAAACUAAAAUUCAGUAAAUAGAAAUAUCAGUGAGGGGUCUUUGGUUGGAGAAACUGAACUGCAAGAUCAGGGCUUUUCCCACCCACUUUUCCCCCCGACAGCAGGCCCUAUGCACUCCCAUUCUCUGUAUCUGUCUCCUAACCUGACCACCGCCCCCCACCACCAUCUUUCCAUGGUGAUAGAGCUGUUCACCCACAAGAGUGCUAAAAGGUCAUUGUAAAGGUAAUUUUCUUGUAAUCAGGAAAGAUGGAAACAAAUAAAAUGUGAAUGCAUCAUUAUUACUAUCAUCGGCAAGGCUGAGAAACAGAUUGUUGGAUAUAUGAUUAACAUGUUUGAAUAUAUGAGCUGUGAAUGGCCUAUAAGUUCUAAUACUAAGUCAAGUUCAGAAAAUGUCUUUAAUGAAGUUCUAAAUAUGAAUAUGAACUGCUCAAUGCCUUAUUUUGGCAUUCCUGCUGUUUAACGUGUUUAUGAUGUGUUUUGACUAUUAAACUGUAAAGUCUUUCACUGUUUAUAUUCCCUCACACUCCCACUGCAUACACUAUUAUUACCAUACUUUUUAGAAUUUUCUGGAAGAGUCUAUUCAGUCACAAUCAUUGUAGACAGAUGUUAGUAUGCAGAGAUUUUAAGCACAGAAAGUAGAAGCAAUGUUACCACAUCUUCCACAGACUAUCUCCUUAAAAUACUUGUGAAUUAUUUUUGAAAACUCACAAAAUUGUGAAAUUUCUACUGGUGUCUGAAACCAUCAGCUACAUCUUCUGUUUUUAUUUUUUCCGCUUUUAUUCACCGUCCGGUUAAAUUGGAUACUCUGGUUGUUUCUGAUUAAAAUCUCCUUGCUAAUAUAUAUUCCUCUCAUGGCUGUUCGUUAUGCAUUAUACAUUUCCUUUCCCAAAAUGAAAUCACUGCUUUUUUGGUAUAUUUUAAUUUUAUUUGCACCGCUUAACUUUCAUAUAUAGAUUUUUAGCAAAUGACCUCGUUGUAACUGUCAGUUUACUAUCAACCGAGCUUUCUCUUGGGCAAAUUUUCCACAUCCACUGUUCACCUCAAUCACCCACUGUGGUUUCCUGAUCUCUCUCUAACUAUUUGGUGGCUUCAAAAGCUGAUAUUUUAUGGUAUUCAAUAGUAAAACUAACAAUAAAAGCUAUCAAUAUUCUAAAAUAGGACAUUUUGAAAUCUAUUUCUACUAGAGAAAUGAAUUAAACAAAUGAACUAGAACAUGUAAAAAAAUCCCGUCUGGAUGUUAAAUAUAAACAUAUGAAAAAUAUGGAAAUAUCACUGAAUAGAUAUAAUUAAUAGUGCUUUAUCAGAGUAAUAUUUUUGUAAGGUUAAAAAAUAAAGAACACCUUUUGUUUCCAUUAUUUAGGCAUUAGGACUGUUCCCUUUAUGACAUGUACUGGUCAGCGCUACAUGAAGACUUAUCUUUCUUUAUCUGAACUUCAAACCAUGCUACCAGCCACUGCUUGUGAAACACCACUUUCUGCUUUAGUUAUUUUCACAAGUCCUACUGCCCGCAGUACACUGCCCCCUCUUUGAGGACACGGCGUAUCUAUAUGAAGGCUGAUGGCUCUCACUGAUCCUAGCUUGCUAUUUUUACCACAAUACGUAUUCAUCUAUAAACCAACUUUACAAAAGAAAAUAUCUCAAAUCAGAAAUGUAAUGUUUAUUUCAUAUGAUUAAACUUUUCCCCAUGAUCCCAGACACUUGUUAGCUCUUUAAAACAAGUUUAUUCUUAGUUAAUAGCUCUGAAACUUUUUUAAAAAUGAAAAGACAGAGAAAACCCAGUGUUAAAUGCAAAUUUUUUAAAAAACUCUUUGCAGGAGGAAAUAUCUUUAUUUCGUGAAUUUAGCUAAAGAGGGACUCGAAUGGAGUUGAUAUCUGUAUGGAAAUCAGCCUUUGGAUUACAUAGUAUUUACCAAAGCUCUUUUUAAUAAUAUGAUGUUAUUUGAUAUCCAGAUGAUUUGAAUAAAUUGGCAUUGUUUAGGGAAAACCUAUAUCUUCAUACAUACACUCAUGUACAAAUCGUGUCCAUGCUUCAUGGGAGUAUGUACCUUGUCAAUUAUUAUUCACCUCUUUGGGUAUAUAAAAGAUACAUCUCUCGAUUUCUUAAAACAAUGGCAAAAGAGAAGAGAGUUUCCCUUUUGGAGAAUAUCCCCUACUUGAAGCGUACUACUUAUUUCAGAAACAUCUUCGCCUUUUUAAAAUAAUUGAUCUCAGUGGAAAAGAAAUUCUCCACUCUACCCAAUAUGACUACAUUUCAUCUUGAAAGUAAUAGAUCCUGAGCUGUUUUAACAAAGGAUAAUCACGGAAACCUAGAGUAAAAUCUCAAAAAUAGUGGGAAAAGUACCAAAUACAUAAUGCCCAAUAAUCUAACACAAAUCCAUCAAAGAUUCUUCACUUUUAUAGAUGUCAUAGGCAUGUGUGGUAAGAUGCCUCUCAAAAAACACAAAUAAUUACCUGCAACAGAUGUACUGGAAUCACUAAAGCUCUAACUAUAAUAUGUAGAAAACUGCAACCAUGUAUUUGCUAGGGGUUUUUUCAAGGAGAUAGCUGUAAUAAUUUCCCUACCUCAAACCUAAAAAUACAAAAUAUGUCUAGAGAUAUUUAAGGCCACACGUCAACAGCUCUUCUUGAAUCCUCUGCUUUGCAAUCAAUAAUUCUCCAGCCACUAGUGAAUAUGCUCCAUGACUCAUCAAAAACGGUAUACGCAGUCAAUGGGGAUCAUUGUUCCCCUCAUGCUCCACACAUGCGUUGACACUGACAGCAGUUAUGCCUCCUAUAGUGGGAGACAGCAUCAAGAUGGCACCAAGCCGGGAGGCAACUCCUCUGAGGUUCUCUAUAAAAUUGCCCCACCCAAAGGGGAACCCACUACAUCCAUCCUGUCUUACAUCUUUGGCAUCCUUCAAGGAAAUAAAAGUAGGCAUACUUUAUAUGGAUGGAAAGCGACUGCAUUUUUUCAGCUUCACACUCACUGUGCAUGGCAAAAUGUACUUCAGUUAUGAAAAUAUCUGGAAGGAAUGUUUCCAGGACCUAUGCCAUUGUGCUCUGUUUACCAGUCAGAUGCUUUCUCAAGAAUGUGUUCAAAUUACAAAGACAACAUCUCCGUGUAUAGGAAUUCUUCAAAGCCCAUAACAUGACUGCAGAAACAUAUUUUCACAUUUCCUAACAUUCGAACGCAUGCCCUCUUCCCCACAGGUGAAAACCCUUCAAUCUCACACAUCCAUCAAACUAUGAUUAACAUUUGGUCAGGAGUUUGUCUGGACUGAUUUGAUGUUUUUAUUUUCUAAGGAAGGAAAGUCACAGAAAAGGAAAAUACAUAUUAAGCAUUUGAGGAUAAUUGCUAUUUACUGAAAACUCUAUUUUAAAAUCAAUUUUAGUGACUCGUCUAAGUUUGGUAACUUCAGGACAAUGAUAACUCUAGUGUCUCUAGAAUGUUCCUAAGUAGCAAUCAUACUCUGUUCUGGCCUUUGAGAGGUGUUAAGACUCAUCCCCUAAUUAUAAGCCUUUUCUCUGUGAUUGCUACCUCACCACUAAAUCUCCAAACUAAAUACUAGUUUUGAGGAAAUAAAAAUAGAUGUUUGGUGUGUUUUCUCAAAUUUUGGUUACAAUGGAUAAGAAAGACGAGGUAUUUCUAUGUAUAAUAAACUUCUUUAGCUUGUAAAAAUAAGAGUCCAUUUUGUUGUGUUCUGACCAGCAAACUCUUUAGGCUUUCUCUCAGAAUACUGCUUUCCUGCUUCAUUCUAGAACAGCACUGCCCAUUAGAAAUACCACGCAUGCCACAUUUGACACUUUAAGUUUCCUAGUAGGCGCAUUAAAAAAGCAACGGGUGAAAUUAAUCUAACAAUAUAUUCUAUUGAAACCAAUACAUCCCAAAUAUUAUCACUCUAACAAAUAAUCAAUAUAAAGAUAUUAAGCAGAUGUUUUACAUUCUUUCCUUCCUACGAAGUUUUCAAAACCCAGAUGUAUUUUCCACUUCGAGCAAAUCUCAGCCCAGAUGAGCCACACUUCAAGUGCUCAACAGCCACAUGGGGCUAGUGGCUACUGCAGUGGACAGCACAUUCUACAUUUCCAAAAAUACGAAGUUUAUAUGCUUUAACAUCUUCCUAGGUAACAUCCUCUGUGAUGGGUAUUGCUGUUAGGAUUUCAUAUUUAGCAAACAUUUAAGUGAAUGUACUCCACUUCCUCCCUCCCCUCCGUGACCCUCAUAUCUGCUGCCCAGCCUGCUGUCUCUUUCUUAGCGUGUAAGAAACUCCAAUCGCCUCUUCUUUGGAGCCUCUCCUAAGCAAGAUGUGAGAUGCUUUCUAAUCUGCGCAUCUUCUAUCACCAAGCAGAAAGCCAGAAGGUGCAGCAAAGCUCCUUUCUCUGGUUCCAUAAAUAGACGUAUCAAGAACAGACCUAAUGUAUGGCGACAAUGAUAAAUGCAAGGGCAAUAUUUCUGCUUACAAUGAAGACAGGAAAUUCUAUAUAAUAAAGUAACACACUCUUCCUCAAUGAGAAAUGCGAUUUUACUCUUUUUUUCUCCCCAGGAGAAACCUUGGGAUAUUCUGUUCCUGCUCUGGAACAGAACCCAGUGUUUCAUUUCAUAGGAAUUCUGUGCCCAGAGGAAGAAGAGAAUUUUGGAAUCAAAAUUUAAUGAAUUCAACUUGGAGUCUCAGUAUGCCUCAAAUGUGGGGAUGCAAACACAAGCAGUAAUAUCUCAAACCAUAAAACACUCCAGCGUCUCUCUUGGCACUGCUGCACAGAGAAUCACGCUUAUGUGUAUCUACACACAGAUUUGUUCUUGGUUACAUGAGAAGAAAAUUAAACUAGGCACAUGUGAGGCUGAAUCUCCUAGCAAUAAUAAAACCUGAUGAUUAUGUCUUAAGUGACACUGUAAUUAUCGACGGAUGGAUGAACAGGUUUUCUGGUGCUGACCCAACCUGUUCCCUAAAAUACAAAAGGCAGCUUUUGUAGUGCUCGGCGAGGAAACCCCUUAUUAAACAAACAGAACUAGAAGCUAUGUCCACAUUUUCAAAGAAGGGCUAACAACACAGUAAUCCAAAAACAUUUCACGCCAUGCACCAUACACAGCACGGAUGAAACUCAGAACGCUGUAAGCUUCCUAAAAAAGUCCUGAGCUACAGUUGUCCCCAACUUUAAGAAAGCAAAGAUACAAGUGACAACGGUGUGCUUUCUCCAGCUACAAAAUAACUUUAUUCAGCGUCUCUCUGGCCAUAACUACAUCCAAGACCUUCCAAGUACUGGGCUAAAUAUUCUUAGGAUGAAUUUUACAAUCAUUGAAUCUUCAUUUUAACUUGUCUCCGUGAUCUUUUAUCUCAAUAGCGAGACAAGGAGAAACACCAAGGCUCUCAGGAUCCCACAGAGAUAACACGGAGUGGAUCACUUACGCUGGUAUAGAACAGCUAUGGACUCAGUACCCCCGGGUAUAAACAGACGCCGUGUUCAAACCCAGGAGGGAGGAACACCGCGUCCACGGGUGUAGUAUUUCAAAGCGCGUUGCAGAGGGCCUGCAAAUCCAAAGGCAUUAAUGACGACUUCUCUCUCCGUGUAUCAAUUUGUUUAAGAAAUUCCUCCGAGUGUGGCAGAGCCUACCACCCAUUUGCUACAGCUUGCGCCUGUGCCGGGGGCCACACGAAGUAAAGGCAGCGGCAGUCGCCUUUCUGGCAGCUUCUCACUCGAUCUUAAUCCUAGGGAAGUACCCUGCACGGAAUCACCCCACAGAGCCCCGGCAGCCGCACACCCCGCGUCCCCGGGGAGGCCGUGCACACAAGAGCCCUUCCACAGCACCCCGCCGCCUGCGCGCUGCUGGGAGGGCGAGCAGAGCUCCGCCAGGUACCUGCUCGUGUUACAGGCUCUGGAAUCAAAGUAUUCUCACAUGACACAUCACUGCCAAUAACAGAUUCCGGCUCCAUUAAAAAAAAAAAAAGUGGUGGGGGGGGGCUACAUAUUUGUCCUGCUUUUGUCUAAAACCCAGAACCCAAGUACUAACACUUUUCCUUCUCAAUCUUUCAUGAAAGCAAUUCAAUCAAGCUACUGCGGCUCCACCCAGAGAGCGUCUAUACUUACUUUUCUUACAGUUUUUGAGUGACGCACUACAAAACGAUGGGGGAAAAAAAAAAAGGAGCCCUCUGGUCUCACGCAGGGCGUCUUCCGCCCUGUAAACUUGGCAAAAGGCGAACUGGACUGAAAUCCAGCACUCUCCAUAUAAGGAAGCCCAGCUAAACAUGUCAUGCGUAAUUUACGGGUAGCAGGCAGAGAAUUAACCUUUGCGUGCACAUCUUUGGCCCCGGCGAAAACCGGGCUGGAUGGCAGCCCCGGGGACGGGGACGCGGGGUCUCCCGGGAGAAACCGGGGCUCCCAUCCCAUGGGCUUGCAUCCGCCCCCGACAAAGGUCAUUAAGUUGUAAAGUUUAUUUGGCUCAAUAGAAAGAGUAUUCUCUACAGGAAGCUCUGUCUCAAACAGAGUUAAGUGUGGGUAAACCGAUGCCCAUAAGCUUCUAGGAUGUGGGAGUCAGGAUGAGUUGUCGGGAGCCAAGAUGGUGGUGCCCCCUGGUCAUGCACCUAGUUGGAAUGCUGCCUCUUAGGCAACCAAAAUAUGUUUCGCUUUAUACCAGAAUUCAAGUGUCUGGAAUUAGAGCCACGGGGGAGCCCUCACAGUACGCAGGGCACACCUCCACACUGCCCGAAUUCCUCCUCUUUCGUAACACAGGAUUCUAUUACUGGCUGCGUGAAUGGGUGGGCUGCUUUGGGAAGUUCGUCCCGUGACAGAGGAGAGGGAGACACCCACUAACCUGAGAGAUCAGCUGGAUCAGCCCUGGAUAUCAACAGUCGGCAGACCCCCAGCUGGAUCACCCACACGUCACAGAGCCAGCCGCGUCUCAGUAAGACCGGUAUAAAGUUUCACAAUGCAAUGCAGCAGUCAUCCACUUUCAACUUUUAUUAGACUCGAUGAAAAUUUAUGUCUUAGGUAGUGUGUCACAUGAACGUAAUCUUAAUGAAACAUAGUAAAAUAUAUGUCUAUAUUUCAAAAGUCAAAAUUUAUCUUUUCCAGCAAUAAAUUAUUACAACAUGAUGUCUAAUUUUACUUAACGUGGAUUUGGGGGCAGGCUCUAAAUGCUUUUUCUUAUGACAGCAUGUGAAAUAAAAAGCAUGGGCAAUGUGUCCUGCUGUUCUAAUGAUGACAAGAAUAUUCUCUUCAACGAUCUGUGUGUCUCACGGAAACUCAGUCAGAUAAGCACUAAUUUUUUUCUGUAGAUAUAAUUUUCUCAAAGACAGAACAAAUCCUAAAAUUAUUUUCCAUAAUCUAGAACCAGUUUGUUUGCUCAGAGAUUUUAGUAAUUCUCAGCAACAACAACAUCAACACAUCUGUCUUGUCAGCAAGAUAGCAUUCCCUCUGCUUCUCUGGCCUUUGUUUGCCAUUCUGAAUUACAGGACUGAUCAAUUUAGAUUGUAAUUUCCUUGGGCUAUGUUUUCUCUUGGUCUUAUCAGUUAUUCAGCAUAAUACCACAUUAUGUCUAACACACCCACAGCACUUAAUAGUUUAUGAUAUCAAAAUACCUCAUACUUGAAAUUCUGGACAUUUAAAAAGACUUCCAUCAUUUUCUUUUUAAAGACAGGGGCAUUAAAACAACAAACAACAUAAUCAAGUUGUAAUGGAAAUAGUUUUGUUUAAUUAUCGUGUGACACAUAAAGCUGAAGAUGCACAAUUUUAAUGGAUUUCUCACAACUCCAAACUUAAUUUAAAAAUUUUGACCUAGUUAAGGAUGUUGAACUUUAGUCAACAGUUCAUUUCCUAAAUUUAUAACACUAACAAUGUGUUUUUCUUCUCUCUAUAAUCAAAAGAUAGCUACUCUCGUCACAGAAGCUUGCAUAAAAAUAGUUUUAAAAGACCAUCUUCCAAGUAAUGUAAUAGAACCAGUAUGACAACACCAUUUACCAAAAUUGAUAAAAAUUAAAUCUGUUAAUUGAUGGAACAAUACAUACUUUCUUGUUGGGGGAGCCAUGCGAUUGAUUACUCUAAUUUAAAAAAGCGAACCAAGGUAAGUAAGUUUUAAAUUUAUUAUUUGAACAUACAUAGUAUAUAUAUUUCUUGGGAUAUUUCCUUACGAGUCCCACACAGCAAACGCGUGAUGUGUGCCGCCUUCUCAAAUGAGUAAGUUAUAGAAGGGCUAGUAGCAAGUUACCCAAACGUCCAUAUAUACAACCAGACUUGUUCACUUACUGCAUUUUUCUUUUUAAGAUGUAUUGAACUCUGUCGUGUUUUUACCAACAUAUAUAAAAACCAACUGCUUUUAAAAGGAUGAUUUAAAAAUCGCUGUAUAAUGAAUACAAUUGUAUUAAAUAGUUAAUAUAUAUAAACAUUACUCUAGAUUGGCACAAACAAAAACAAAUUUCUGCUGGAUUUAGAUUACUUUAGAAUUUCCUAAUGAGAUCAGUUUCAACUUAGUUGGAUCUCCGAUUUGAAUCCAAACGAUCUUACUUUGUUGCAGUUCUCACUCCAUUUUUAAGCGUCAUAACCGCAAAUUAGUCUUAAGACAAACACGAAUUUCCGUAAUUAGAUUCACUUAUGUUUAGAUUUUUAAAGCAUACCAUCUACACUACAAAUUGCUUUUUCUAAAGUAUUUAAAUAUUAUCAUGAUGUGAUGAUAUGAAAAAUAACUGAAAUGUCACAUUUUAAAUAAUACAACGUAUUUUCAGUGGAUAAAAAUAAAUACAAGAAUAUCUUUUUCUUGGAAAAUGUCCAACUAAUAAUAUGCGACAUUAAAGACUGAUAUAUGUGGAAGAAUUUAGAAAUGUUAAGAAUUUACUGAGGCUAGGGGAAGAAAAAAAUUCUCAAAGUUUAUUAUACAAAAAUUCUUUUAGCACUAAAUUGUGUAUAAAAUUAUGAAAAAAGAAAACGUUUUACUUUGUGGUUAAAAUAAUUUAAGAUCAAUAAGAACCUUAAAAUUUUCCGGCUUUCUUAAAAGUUGCAUGUGAAGUUGAAACUUUCUGAAUUUAGUAAACUUUUUCGUUUAAAGUAUUGACUACUGCUUGAGAGAGGUGUCAGCUUUAUCUAACCUACUUUGUAUUCCACCAGCAUUUAAACCGUUGUUGUAUAAACAGCAAUCCAAAUAAUAAAAUGAAAAGUAGCAAGUAAGUCUUUCUUCUUACCUCUCUGUCUUAUUUAUAGUUGCUUGUGAAGCUGCAUAAAUAGUUGAGCUAAACUAACGGCAACUCCAAGAGCUCUCUUCUCUUCUCUGGUCACAUUUUUUUCCCUCUGCAAGAGGACAGUGUAGCAAAAGAGGAAGCUGUGAAACACCAGAGUCACUAUGCUUUAUACGGUCCGUGGAGAGCAGAAAAUUAUUCACGAAGCUUAGCCUUGGAGUCAUGAUAAUAGGCUAUAAUUUGUGUAUGUGCAUCUAUAAUUAAUGUACACAUAUAUUUAUACAUGUAAGCAAUUUUAGAAAAGUUAAGUUAUAGAAAUCUAUACUUGAUUAAGAAAUGUUCAUUUACAGAAGGAGACACCUCCUGUGUGGCUAAAUGAUAAUCAGAGAAAAACAGAAAACACUGAUCUACGCAGAAGAAGACUGUCAAGCUGACACAUGAGGGAUAAACUGACUUUCAUAAGGCUAAUUAAUUUAAAGUCUUUGGAGUAUGAUCUAAAUGCUAAUCCGAUUGCAGACAUCUUGUAAAAAGAAAAAAAAAACUUCAGUAAACGGGCAUUUUCCUGGAAUCUGGGUAGUGGUUUUUUACCUACAAGUCUUGAACUUCCUUUCUCAUGAAGAGUUGCCUGCUACAUACAGAUAAAGCAUUGCAAAACCGAAACUGUCGCUUAUCCACGAGCUAUGGCCUCUCUCAACUUCAGCCGCAAGAAUAAAAACAGGUGCAGAUCCUGCAAUGCUGAACAUUUACCAGUUAAGUUUCUAACAUGUUGGAGCACUAAUUGAAAAUAUUUACAAAACAGUAGGGACAAUGGUUGAAAAAGGACAUGAAAACAGUUGAUCAAAGCAAAUAUUAUUGUCAAUGCCAAAUAAAAGGAAAUACUCAUAUAUAUACGCAUACACACUUAUAUAUAUAUAUAUAUACUUCUCCCAGGCUACCGGUUAACAGAAGCAAAUUAGCAGCUGCAAUUUGUACGUGGCAGUCCCUCCCACCCUCCCCUGCUGGUUGGGGAAGAGGAAAGGUGUGGAUUGCAAGAAUCACUUAGCAGUUAUGCAAACCUCCACACAUUGCAAGAACCACUUUCUGGAGUUUAGAAACUAUCGUGUUCUCAGGGUAUCACAGUCUGCUUUUUAUUGAACCAUAUUUUCAAAGGGGCAAUAAAGAGUAAUUAGGGAUGAUUAAAAAUGGAAGCAUUUUCCAUUUCACUCAAACCCAUACUUACUGCGAAUUUGCAGGAAGUAAAAGUAAAUGAACAAACAAUACCAAGAAGACUGCCUCCACACAAAAAAACAAAACAAACAAAAGAACCACCAGAGUAUUCUCAACAUAAAAUUUUAUUUGAAUUCUUUAGUGAGACACUUGUAGGAAAAUCCUUGAAGAAAAAGUUACCGAUGUGAUUAAUAUUGCUUAGACUCUAUGUGUUUUGGGAAAUGUUAAAUGUUAUUGUAUUGACUAUUAGUAUAAAACACUAGGUCCUUCCGCUUCCCAAAGACCCAGGCUCACUAUCUGAAGGGUGGUGCUCAAUGUUGGGCAUGAUCUUAAUGUGCUAGCUUGAUACUUGUGUCCCUUUGACCUGGGUCGUGGACGUAUGUCUCUGGUUCUGUAACGAUCCUUUCCAGGCUGGCGAACAUGCUCAAGGUUCCUCUAUUUUAAAAAAUUCUCCUCUGACUGAUCUGCCCCUAUUACUUUCCUUUUUGAGAAAGUUGUCAUCAUUGACUUCCUUCAAGUCCCCAUAGCCUUUGUGUGUGGUAGAAUAUACAUAAAAUAAAAUUGACCGUUUUUGUCAUUUUUAAGUGUGCAGUCCAGAGGCAUUAAGCACGUUCACAUUGUUGUGCAACCAUCACCACCAUCCGUCUCCGGAUCUUAUUCAUCCCCCUAAACUGAAACUCUGUGCUCAUUAAACAAUAACUCCCCAUUUCUCCUCCCCAACCAGCCCCUGGCGACCACCAUUCUACUUUCUGUCUCUAUGAAUUUGCCUUCUCUAGGGACCUCGUAUAAAUGGAGUCACAGAAUAUUUGUCCUUGUGGCUGGCUUAUUUCACUUAGGUUCAUCGAGGUUGUAGCAUGCGUCUGAAUUUUAAUUUGUAUUUACCUGAUUGCUAUGGAGAUUGAACAUAUUUUAAUGUUGUAUUCCCUUCAUGUUUCCUGUUUGGUAAAUUGCCUGCUCCUCCAUUCCAGACGUUUGUUUAUCGGAUAUUGUCAACUUCUUAUUGGUUUGUAAGGUUAAAUUUACCUUGUGUUUCAAUGUAUUGUAUUCAUUCUUUUUUUAAUGCUCCAGUCAUUGGUUACUGUAACUUUUUGAGAUGACCCCAAUGUUCUUCAAUAAUAUCUUUACCUUCUGGCACAACAAGGAACCCAGGUUCUUUUUAUGUUUCCUACCCAGACCUGAACCUGAACUUAGGCGUUUCUCUAAAGGACAUUAGUUCCUUUCAGAGACCAGGUUUAAAAGAAUUUUUUUUUAGGAAGAUUAGCCCUGAGCUAACAUCCGUGCGCAUCUUCCUCUGCUUUAUAUGUGGGACGCCUGCCACAGCAUGGCUUGAUAAGUGGUGCAUAGGUCCGCACCCAGGAUCUAAACUGGGGAACGCUGCACCGCCCAAGCAGAGCCGUGAGCUUAACCACUACACCGCCUGGCGGGCCCCUGGGACAGGGCUUUUGAGACCACACUUUAGACCUUAGUGGCACUCAUUGUUACUGGGUUAUCAUUAACAUUAGGAAUACACUGACUUAUCAUAAGCAUUAGCAGUUAGUCAACAAAAUGUUAGCUCUUUCUAUAUGCCCAGCAGCACAUACAUGCAAGAUAAAUUUAAACACGUAUUAAAAGUUUAUAAUGUGUGUUAAUAUUACAUCAUAUUUUGCAUUAAAAUAAUUUAAGAAUAACAUAUCUGAUACAAAAAUAUCUUCUUUUGAAUAAAAAUUUGGUCGUAUUUUCUUAUAAAAGGAUAGUUUGAUAAGGAAAUGUAGGGGCCGCCCAGUGGUGCAGCGAUUAAGUGCGCAUGUUCUGCUUCACCGGUCCAGGGUUCCCCAGCCCGGAUCCCGGGUGCGGACAUGGCACCGCUUAGCAAGCCAAGGUGUGGCAGGUGUCCCACAUAUAAAAUAGAGGAAGAUGGGCAUGGAUGUUAGCUCAGGGCCAGUCUUCCUCAGCAAAAAGAGGAGGAUUGGCAGCAGAUGUUAGCUCAGGGCUAAUCUUCCUCAAAACAGACAAACAACAACGACAACAAAAGAAAGGUAAUAACAUAGUAAUUGUCAUAUCUUGCAUUUAGAACUUUGAAAAUACCCUUCCAAAGAAAUUUCAAAAAUCGUGUAGAUUGGAAAAAUGUACUCAGCUUCCAUAUUUUCCAUUAGUUUCAUCCACAUUUAUCAUUAUGAUUCUCAGUCUCUGUUUCUUUCAAUUUUUUUGCUAUUAUGCACUUAUGACUUAAAAGUUAGCAA
This 12817-nucleotide long non-coding RNA is filed under the name Equus asinus (donkey). RNAcentral's name for it is "lncRNA (ENSEASG00005028336.1)". The record is from RNAcentral. Lineage: Eukaryota; Metazoa; Chordata; Mammalia; Perissodactyla; Equidae.